Cornus florida is the source of this 1302-nucleotide RNA transcript. It is a transcript of the gene named chromatin remodeling protein EBS-like, with no coding region annotated. The record is from RefSeq and is a predicted model, not a curated record. Lineage: Eukaryota; Viridiplantae; Streptophyta; Magnoliopsida; Cornales; Cornaceae. The transcript has 7 exons.
UAAAUAAAAUGAAUCAUAUACGGAUUCAUUGAAUAAAAUUCUCACACUCCACAAAGCCACUAGUGUACAAGUCUCGAGUCUUCAAAACCAGGGUUCUGUCUUCUUCUCCCCUAAAUCUAGGGUUUUUAAACAACUAUUUUUUUCAGAGUCGAUUGACAUACCUCGAAAACCAGCUAGCAAUCCCGAACAAUUCACCUAGAUUUACGAUUCGUCCGCCAAAAUACACUCCAAAUUCUAUACAUAUAUCGGUUUUUAUCUCUAUAGUUCUCUGAAAUUUGUUCGCAUUUGCGCCAUAGCAAAAACUCAACAUCUGUGUCAAUGGCCAAGACGAGACCAGGAAAAAGAGACAUGGACUCUUACACCAUCAGAGGCACCAACAAAGUCGUCAGAGCUGGGGAUUGUGUGUUGAUGCGACCAUCGGACACCAAUACGGCACCUUAUGUGGCGCUUGUGGAGAGGAUUGAAGCAGAUAUUCGGAACAACGUGAAGGUCAGGGUGAGGUGGUACUAUCGGCCGGAGGAGUCUAUGGGAGGGCGGAGACAGUUCCAUGGAGCAAAAGAGUUGUUCUUGUCGGACCACCAUGAUGUUCAGAGUGCUCACACUAUUGAAGGCAAGUGCACUGUUCACACUUUCAAGAACUAUACUAAGCUUGAAAAUGUUGGUGCUGAAGAUUACUAUUGUCGUUUUGAGUAUAAAGCUGCUACAGGAGCAUUCACACCAGACCGUGUUGCAGUGUAUUGCAAAUGUGAAAUGCCUUAUAAUCCGGAUGAUUUGAUGGUACAAUGUGAGGGAUGCAAGGACUGGUAUCAUCCUGCUUGUGUGGACAUGACUAUUGAACACGCAAAAAAGUUGGAACGCUUUAUGUGUGCAGACUGUGAAUAUGAUGAUACCAAAAAAUCCCAGGACACCUUUCCUGCAUCAGCAAUGGCUAAUGGGAAGAAGGAGUUUGCUACCCUGGAAGAAUACACAUGAGCCACUAUCAAGAUAAUCGGUGCUUAAGAUAUCCGUCAGAAGGUCAAAACUUGUUGAUGGAGCCCAAGCGGCAGAAGAGGUGAAUUCAUCUGGAGGCUCGCGCUGCAUGAAGUGACAUGACCAUUAAACUCAGUGUUGAUCUUUUGGGUGCUGUACAGUGCAGAAUAUUGUAAUGGUUAUCCGAUCAGACUAAAGGCUGUUGGUAAUUUGCAUCUUGUCUUGAUCUAAAUUCGUGUUUUAUGUAUUUAGAAGAUGACUUUGGUACAUGUUCUGUGCAGUUGGACGAUUCAGUAAUUAAAUCUCUAAUUUAGGAAAAAUGUUGGUUCUGAA